Molecule: ribosomal RNA, 400 nt
Filed under: uncultured bacterium
Lineage: Bacteria
Description: bacterial SSU rRNA
Rfam family: Bacterial small subunit ribosomal RNA
Source: RNAcentral
UGGGGAAUAUUGCGCAAUGGGGGAAACCCUGACGCAGCGACGCCGUGUGAGGGAAGAAGGCCUUCGGGUCGUAAACCUCUGUCAGAAGGGAAGAACCGCUUAGGUUCGAAUAGGACUUGAGUCUGACGGUACCUUCAGAGGAAGCACCGGCUAACUCCGUGCCAGCAGCCGCGGUAAUACGGAGGGUGCAAGCGUUAAUCGGAAUCACUGGGCGUAAAGCGCUCGUAGGCGGCAUUGUAAGUCAGGCGUGAAAGCCCUCGGCUCAACCGAGGAACUGCGUUUGAUACUGCAGAGCUUGAGUAUCGGAGAGGGUGGCGGAAUUCCGGGUGUAGGAGUGAUAUCCGUAGAGAUCCGGAGGAACACCAGUGGCGAAGGCGGCCACCGUGGACGAUAACUGACG